UGGGGAAUAUUGGACAAUGGGCGCAAGCCUGAUCCAGCCAUGCCGCGUGAGUGAUGAAGGCCCUAGGGUUGUAAAGCUCUUCAGUGGGGACGAUAAUGACGGUACCCACAGAAGAAGCCCCGGCUAACUUCGUGCCAGCAGCCGCGGUAAUACGAAGGGGGCUAGCGUUGUUCGGAAUUACUGGGCGUAAAGCGCACGUAGGCGGAUAUUUAAGUCAGGGUGAAAUCCCGGGGCUCAACCCCGGGAACUGCCUUUGAUACUGGGUAUCUUGAGUUCGGAAGAGGUAAGUGGAAUUGCGAGUGUAGAAGUGAAAUUCGUAGAUAUUCGCAGGAACACCAGUGGCGAAGGCGGCUUACUGGUCCGACACUGACGCUGAGGUGCGAAAGCGUGGGGAGCAAACAGGAUUAGAUACCC
This 414-nucleotide ribosomal RNA is filed under the name uncultured bacterium. RNAcentral describes it as "bacterial SSU rRNA". It matches the Rfam family "Bacterial small subunit ribosomal RNA", at positions 355 to 787 of the family's 1533-position model. The record is from RNAcentral.